Molecule: transfer RNA, 69 nt
Filed under: Bos taurus (domestic cattle)
Lineage: Eukaryota; Metazoa; Chordata; Mammalia; Artiodactyla; Bovidae
Rfam family: tRNA
About the family: Transfer RNA (tRNA) molecules are approximately 80 nucleotides in length. Their secondary structure includes four short double-helical elements and three loops (D, anti-codon, and T loops). Further hydrogen bonds mediate the characteristic L-shaped molecular structure. tRNAs have two regions of fundamental functional importance: the anti-codon, which is responsible for specific mRNA codon recognition, and the 3' end, to which the tRNAs corresponding amino acid is attached (by aminoacyl-tRNA synthetases). tRNAs cope with the degeneracy of the genetic code in two manners: having more than one tRNA (with a specific anti-codon) for a particular amino acid; and 'wobble' base-pairing, i.e. permitting non-standard base-pairing at the 3rd anti-codon position.
Source: Rfam by way of RNAcentral
CCUGGUGGCUCAGAUGGUAAAGCAUCUGCUUACAGUGCAGGAGACCUGGGUUUGAUCCCCGGGUCAGGA